This 253-nucleotide ribosomal RNA is filed under the name uncultured bacterium. RNAcentral's name for it is "partial 16S ribosomal RNA". It matches the Rfam family "Bacterial small subunit ribosomal RNA", at positions 524 to 776 of the family's 1533-position model. The record is from RNAcentral.
GACGAACCGUGCGAACGUUGUUCGGAAUCACUGGGCUUAAAGGGUGCGUAGGCGGCGCAGAAAGUAGGGUGUGAAAUCCCUCGGCUCAACCGAGGAACUGCGCCCUAAACUACUGUGCUCGAGGGAGGUAGAGGUGAGCGGAACUUAGGGUGGAGCGGUGAAAUGCGUUGAUAUCCUAAGGAACACCGGUGGCGAAAGCGGCUCACUGGACCUCUUCUGACGCUGAGGCACGAAAGCUAGGGUAGCGAACGGG